GACGAACGCUGGCGGCGUGCUUAACACAUGCAAGUCGAACGGAAAGGCCCUGCUUUUGUGGGGUGCUCGAGUGGCGAACGGGUGAGUAACACGUGAGUAACCUGCCCUUGACUUUGGGAUAACUUCAGGAAACUGGGGCUAAUACCGGAUAGGAGCUCCUGCUGCAUGGUGGGGGUUGGAAAGUUUCGGCGGUUGGGGAUGGACUCGCGGCUUAUCAGCUUGUUGGUGGGGUAGUGGCUUACCAAGGCUUUGGCGGGUAGCCGGCCUGAGAGGGUGACCGGCCACAUUGGGACUGAGAUACGGCCCAGACUCCUACGGGAGGCAGCAGUGGGGAAUAUUGCACAAUGGGCGGAAGCCUGAUGCAGCAACGCCGCGUGCGGGAUGACGGCCUUCGGGUUGUAAACCGCUUUCGCCUGUGACGAAGCGUGAGUGACGGUAAUGGGUAAAGAAGCACCGGCUAACUACGU
This 467-nucleotide ribosomal RNA is filed under the name uncultured bacterium. Its description in RNAcentral is "partial 16S ribosomal RNA". It matches the Rfam family "Bacterial small subunit ribosomal RNA", at positions 28 to 506 of the family's 1533-position model. The record is from RNAcentral.